This 335-nucleotide long non-coding RNA is filed under the name Vigna radiata. Its description in RNAcentral is "long non-coding RNA (VRAD_LNC010639)". Lineage: Eukaryota; Viridiplantae; Streptophyta; Magnoliopsida; Fabales; Fabaceae. The record is from RNAcentral.
GAAGUUUGUUAACAUGCUCAACAUCAAUAUGAAAACCUUCUCUCGUUGUUGGAGAAGCAUUGUCCUCUCUUUUGAAUAAAAUGGGCAUUUUCGGUCCAGAAUCUGGUGGCCCCAAAUCAUUUGGAGGUUGAGGUACAGUAGCUCGGCCACGACCAGCAGGUGACCGCAAAUCAUUUGGAGGUUGAGGUACAAUACCUCGGCCACGGCCAGCAGGUGAUUGCAAAUCAUUUUGAUAGUGGGGCACAGUAGCCCGGCCUCGACCAGCUUGUGGCUGAUUUAUGGAAGAUAAAAUUGAUGAGAAAGAAGGAAGGCCUGGCGGACGGAUUGGCUUGCCA